Molecule: RNA transcript, 5313 nt
Organism: Zea mays
Lineage: Eukaryota; Viridiplantae; Streptophyta; Magnoliopsida; Poales; Poaceae
Gene name: protein STICHEL
Exons: 9
Source: RefSeq, a predicted model, not a curated record
GGCUCACUCAUCACUCCCUCAGCACCUCGGCCCUCUGCAGUCUGCGUCUGCCCCCUCUUCCAGGUCCCAGCGCUGUCUAGAUCCAGAUGGGAGCUCCACCGCUGCCCUUCUCCCUGCCCCACGCCGCUCUCCUCUGAUCCCGCACUCCCCGAAGUCCCCACUGCCGGCGCGAUCCCCGCAUUCCCUACCGCCUGCUAGCCCCACCACCCGCUGAAGCCGUCCAUACAGGCCAUUGCGCUGCCCGGAAUCCCGGCGUGAACAGCCGUUGCUGCAGUGCGGCCUGGAGCUCCGCCUGUUCCCCGCUUCCGCCCGCCACCGCCUUUCAUAAAAACAGCCCCUCCUCCUGCGCCUGGAGUGCGGAGCCGUCACCGCUGUCUCUCUCCACGGGACACGCCGCCGCCGGGAGGGAAGAACCCGACUCCCGGGCUUGAAGUUGCCGCACCCCCGCCGUCCGACGUACACAGUGGGAUGUACUACAUUGGUCUGCUUGGACAGCAGUUCUCUUUUUAAUUUGUAAAUAUCUCUCUCGUUCUUCAGUUAUGGCCACUAUAGUUGAAGGGUGUGUUGGUCCCAGUGAGCUUCACCUGAAGAAGGAACUUAUUGCCUUGAGAAAGGCACGUUUCUUGCGUGAUCCCGAAACAUGCUCAUCCUGGAGGUCCCCGUUAAGCUCUAAAUCAUUCUUGUCAACUUCUGGUGUUAUAAAUCAUAAUGAGGUAGGCAGUAGUUUGUCAGAAAAGCGCACAGAGCCAGCUGCAGCACCAGUCAAAAGUGAAAAGAAAAGAAAAAACGUUUAUCUCUACAACUGGAGACAUCAUUCUAACAAAUCUAGUGAAAGUGGAGUGAAGUUAGAUGUGGACGAUAGACAAGCCUCAGUAGACUGUAGUCUGGAAAGCCCGUGUAUUUCUAACGGUAUGGACUCUAGGAGUGACACAUGUCUUGAAGUUCCUGUCAGCAUAUACAGUGUUCAAGGUUCUAAUUCAUGCACUCCUGUUAAAAGAACUGUUAGAAGGGUAAGGAGGAGUUCAUUCUCAAAGAAAGGAGCUAUGAGAAAUUCUACUGUUUCAAAGUUGCUAGAUCUCCAUGUGAAUUCUGCUGAGCAGUCUGAGGAUACUGAGAACUACAACUCAGAGACUCAUGAGCACCUUCAGAAAGUAGGGUAUUUUUCUCACUCUACAUCACCACUGUUUGCUGCAUCAGGGUGUUUUAGCUCAACAAAUCCUUCUAAGCUGUUGAGAGUGCCAAGAAGAGAAGGAUCUUCCUUCUCUUGUACUCCGGUCUCCACUAGCUCCUAUUACAGGUACAAAGGGAGGAAUCCUAGUACUGUAGGUUCAUGGGAUGGAACAACUGCUGCUUCACUUGAUGACGAUGGGCUGAACCAACCAGAACUGUUGACAAAUCAGAGGUGUGGUAUUCCUUGUUAUUGGUCAAAGAGGAGUAAACACAAGGGAUCUGAAAGGAGUUGUUCUCCUUCACUUUCUGAUACACUUAGAAGAAAAGGCACCAGUCUAUUGUGUGGGAGUCAAACUAUGCAUGGGAGAAAGAAAUCAUCAGGCUCCAAUAAAUAUGGAUAUCUUAAAAAAUCUUCCCAAGGUGUACCACUGUUGGGUGAUAGUAGUCAUUUUGCUUAUUCGUCAUUUGAUUCAGCUAGUGAUGAAGUUUCAACCAUCUUUGGAGAAUUAGAUCUGGAAGCUUUGAGCCGUUUGGAUGGCAGAAGGUGGUCAAGCUGUAAAAGCCAGGAUGGGAUUGCACUGUCUGUGAGUGGAGCUGAUCAUGUAGUUUCAGAUCACAGAAGCUUGAGCCAAAAAUAUCGACCAAGGUCAUUUCUAGAAAUUGUUGGUCAAAACUUUGUUGUACAGUCACUUAGUAAUGCUAUCGCAAGGGAAAGAAUAGCUCCAGCAUAUCUGUUCCAUGGGCCCCGCGGGACAGGGAAAACAUCUUCUGCAAGAAUACUUUCAGCAGCUUUAAGUUGUACUGCUACUGGAGAGACCAAGCCCUGUGGAGUUUGUACUGAGUGCAGUGACUUUUUCACUGGAAAUGGAACUAAUCUAAUUGAGGUUGAUGCUACCAACAGAAAAGGUAUAAACAGAGUACGCCAUUUGAUUGAAAAUAUACCAGCAUCUGCAACUUCUUCACGGUACAAAGUAUUUGUCGUGGAUGAAUGCCAUAUGGUAUCUUCUAAAGUCUGGUCGGCAUUUAUGAAAUUUCUUGAUGAACCAUUACCUCGCGUUGUCUUCAUAUUUAUAACAAUAGACCCUGAAAAUCUUCCCCGUUCUGUCGUAUCACGUUGUCAAAAGUACAUGUUCUCCAAGAUCAAAGACAUUGACAUAGUAUGCCGGCUGAGGAAGAUUGCUAUGAAGGAAAACCUUGACGUUGAAUUGGCUGCUCUAGAUUUAAUAGCACUAAAUUCAGAUGGAUCAUUGAGAGAUGCGGAGACAAUGUUAGAUCAGUUGUGUUUACUAGGGAAGAAGAUAACACCAUCACUUGUAAAUGAUCUGGUUGGGGUUGUGUCUGAGGAGAAACUCCUUGACCUAUUGGAGAUAGCCAUGUCAUCAAACACUGCUGAAACAGUCAAAAGGUCGAGAGAGCUGAUGGAUUCUGGUGUUGAUCCAAUGGCAUUAAUGUCACAAUUAGCUGGGCUCAUAAUGGACAUCAUUGCUGGGACCUAUAGAUUGGCAGACCCUACAUGCGGUGGAGAUGGAAUUGGUGGUCGAAAUAUAACUGAUGCUGAAUUGGAAAGAUUACAACAAGCGUUGAGGAUUCUUUCUGAUGCUGAAAAACAGAUAAGACUUUCAAGCGAGCGUUCGACAUGGUUCACUGCUGCUUUACUCCAGCUUGGUUCCGGUCACAAUUCAGAAAUAACUCAAUCAAGAAGCAGCAGUAAGCAAAGCGCUAAGGCAACCAGCGAAACCAUGAUGGAAGCAAUGAGAGAAUCUUCUGCAAGCAGGAGUACAGCUCAUCAUUUAUCCACUUUUCCUGAUUCAAAGAAAAUAGUGGAUCUGAAAACAACCAGUGGGCACUCCAGUCCUCAUGCUUCACUGUCCUCCAGGAUGAGACACAAUGAAAACAUGAUUUAUGCCGAGCAUAUGUCUGUUGAUAGAGCAUUAUUGGAUUCUGCUCAAACAAGUAUUUCUUCUGAGCAAAAGGGUAUGCAUAGUGGAAUCUCAGAUAACCUUACCCGAAUUUGGAUGAAGUGCAUAGAGAAUUGCCACUCCAAGACAUUGCGGCAACUUCUCUAUGAUCAUGGGAAAUUAACAUCUGUCAAAGAAUGUGAAGGUACCAUUGUUGCUUUUAUAGCAUUUGAGGACAAUGAUAUAAAGUUUCGAGCCCAAAGAUUUAUUAGCAGCAUCAGAAAUUCAAUGGAAACUGUACUGAAAUGCAAUGUGGAAGUCAGGAUUUGUUUGAUGCAAGAAUUUCUUGCUGGGGGACUAAAGCAUGAGACAUACCCAGAUGAGACAGCUGAAUCUGAUGUCUUGAGUUGUUCAACGAACAGUGAACGUCGAAAGGGUGUUCUGAAUCUAUCAGGUGCUGGUGGAGUGCAGCCAAACAAUGUUCCCAUGAUCAUCUCUGAGGAAACUUCAGGAAUGCAUAGAACAAGAGGGCAGGAUGUUUCUAUUGAACAGUUGAAGGUAUCAGCUUUUGAUGAACAAAGGUUAGAGAGUGCAUGGCUCCAGGCUGCUGAAAAACCCAUGCCUGGUAUGUUAAAUCAAGGUAGACCUGAGAGAAAUCAAAUUCUUCCACAAAAUGGUGGUCAGCAUCAUGGUAGGUCCUCAAUGGCCACCGUUGUUCCGUCAAGGCAUGUUGACAAGGAUCUAUCUAAUGAACUGAAAGCCUUAAAGAUCAGUGACAGUCAUGGACCCCAUAAUGGUCAAGAUGUACAGAUGGAGAGUGGUUAUGCCAUUUCACCAAGCCUUUUGCAUAGAAAUAACCAUUUGGCAAAUUGUGACAAUGAGAGCGUUGUUUCUGAGUCCGGAGCACCCGGUUGCCAUGGGCUGUUCCCAUGCUGGAAAACUGAAAAAACGAAAAGGAGAAAGGGAAAAGGGCAGACACGGUUGAGGUCAUCUUAAGUUGGCAAUUGACGACGAUAAAAGGAGCAUUGUGGCCCUGGAUUGUAGAGGAACAUUUGAAGAGAUGCACGUGCCUCACGAAACUGCCUUACUUCAUUUCUUCUAGAGGAUUUAUGAAGACCAAUUCGUUAUUCCAUGCAUUUAAUGCUGCCGCUGAGGGUUCAGCAUUCUCUACGCGUGGACUCAGCAGAGGGUGAUAAAAAGUUGCAGAGAUGUUGGACAUGCGGAUUUUAACAAGCCAUUCUGAUCCAUCUAUGCUUCUUGUACAGACAUUUGGAUGCUGAGGCGUAUACGUGAAGCGGUCAGCAAAAUUAGGAAACAUUGAACAAAGGAAGACCUUGCGUCGAUAAGCUGUGGUUUUAUCAAGUUUGUACAAAAACUGCAAUCAACUGUGGUGUUGACGUUGCUGUAGGCCCUAUUUGUUUCCUUGAUAAGGUGAUAAUGGAUCACAAUCCAAAUAUUUAUUGACAAUAAGUUAAAGACUUUAAAUAAGUUUAGUUUAAAAAUAAAUGGAAAUAGAAUCUGAUUCUAGAUCCUUAAAUUUUAUAGUAUAAAAUUUAUAACUCAUUACCACCUUUAUUUUUAGGAUUAUAUAAUCUAGCUUGUGAAUUAUUUAAGUACCUAUUGACCUGCUUAUGGAUUAUCAUAGUUUAGAUAUCUAGAAUACAUAAUUCACCUAAUAAUCUGUGUUGUUUAUUUACCUUUCAAUUUAUUUAAACUAGAUUAUAUAAUCUAGAGGUUAAACAGGGCCUUAAUAAGCCGUGUUUAUCUCACCAUAAAACACAUAAUAUAUAUGUUGGGGACCUUCGGCGUCCGAAGGUCCUCAAAAACAUGAUUUAAUAGUGUUUCUGGAGUAUAAUGUGCAAACAGGUAUCUUCGGACUCGAAUCGGUAUCACAGAGGGAGAAGCUCAAAGCAUACGAAGGUUGAUACAGCACCGAAGCUGUGAGCAGAAAAGCUUCGGCAUGGUGGCAGGAAAGGAAACCGACUUAAAGAUGAAAAGGCUAUUCGGACCUCGAUGGAUUACUAUAGAGUUAUUGUCAGAUGUAAAGGGCAUAAAUGUAAUUUUGUAAGGGCUGUGUCCCGUGUCUAUAAAUAGGUGAACAGUAUCCCCGUACUGUUCACGCUGACUUGGCAUUUGCUUUUGCGUCACGCUUGUACUUUUUACCUUCUCUCAGGACCGAAGGUACAUUUGUAAUUUGAAAUCAUUUCUAUUUUUCCAUGUUAAUAAAAUAGAAAUGAUUCUAUGA